This 274-nucleotide ribosomal RNA is filed under the name uncultured bacterium. Its description in RNAcentral is "partial 16S ribosomal RNA". It matches the Rfam family "Bacterial small subunit ribosomal RNA", at positions 523 to 796 of the family's 1533-position model. The record is from RNAcentral.
AUACGGAGGGCGCAAGCGUUGUUCGGAAUCAUUGGGCGUAAAGCGCGUGUAGGUGGCUUGGAAAGUUGGAUGUGAAAGCCCGGGGCCCAACCCCGGAAUUGCACUCAAAACUCCCUAGCUAGAGUCCCGGAGAGGAAGGCGGAAUUCCCGGUGUAGAGGUGAAAUUCGUAGAUAUCGGGAGGAACACCAGUGGCGAAGGCGGCCUUCUGGACGGUGACUGACACUGAGACGCGAAAGCGUGGGGAGCAAACAGGAUUAGAAACCCCGGUAGUCC